Molecule: long non-coding RNA, 2368 nt
Organism: Panicum virgatum (switchgrass)
Lineage: Eukaryota; Viridiplantae; Streptophyta; Magnoliopsida; Poales; Poaceae
Exons: 7
Source: RefSeq, a predicted model, not a curated record
ACCGAGAUUGCAGAGGUAGGGGGUGCCGGGCUUCAAUUAUGCCAAGGGAUGGAUAAGGUUUAUAUCCCAUACAAGCUUUCCAGCAAGGUAAUUGAUUGAAAAUUCAAGUGGUUUUAUAGUGGAAACCAUGCUCCAUCGCUGCUAGACAGGACCCAUAGGCCUCCUAAGAUCUGUAAUGAGUGGAUCGCAAUAGCUCAGGACAAAUAUCAACUGAACAAGCUGCUGGAUUGGGGACCCUGUCGGGCUCCUCCCCCCACCCCCCAAAAAAAAAACAAAUUGUACGUGUGAGUUUCCCUUCAUACGACUCGAAUCAUUCUCUGAAGAAGGAUAAGUGAUUAAAGCAGCUCUUGUGAUGUCUUGUAUAUGUCGAAGAAUCCAACCUCUGCAAAAGUGUAUCAAUUUUGGCUUUCGCUACCUUAGGGAUCAAGGAUCCAUCUCGCUUCACCUCCAAGAAAAAUCACUGAAAGUGAAGCAGUGUGUCGAGUUCGUCGAGUACUUGAUGGAGUGCUUGGCGUUCCGAUGAUUCCGGACACCUUUACCAUGAAGGAUCCACCCAAGGAGGAUGAUGUAAAUAUAUAUCGAAGCAGUCCUUCGAUUCCAGAAGCCAUUUGUCUUGCGCAUCUUCUCCCAAGUGUGCGUAAGAGACCAUAUAUCUAUCGGCCGGGCAAAGAUCCGAACAUAGUAGAUGCUAUGUCAAACACUGAAUCUGACAACAACUUUCCCUAGACAUUGAGGAAGACACUGGCGCGGGUGGAGGAGACCAAAGUCCCAGUCCUGGGGGCGAUUCAGGAGCUAGUCACCCAAAAGCUCCGCGCACGGUGACGCGUAAGCGCAAGGCGUCCACCCCAUCCAGAGAUACCAGCCCUAGGUGCAUUGUGUCGAGAACUGAAGCAUCUGGGAAUGAUGCUGGUAUAGAUACAAGUGUAUCCUCUAUCCCAGCGGAGCCUUCAAGUGAUGCAGGGAUCACCUAGCCGGAGCGUACAACACCAGCAGAUGGUUCUGAGGAAGGUCCCCCGGCGGAACCUCGGUCGGCGGGUGGUGAAAAUACUCCCCCUACCCAGUGGAAUAUUGCUGCGGUGGGUGAACGGCAUUCAAGCUCUCAACAGGGGCUAUCAGUGCCUUCUGCUGGAGCACAAGUGACGUCGUGUGCUUUGGUAACCGUCCCAGUCCCAAAGUUGCUAAGAGGGAUGGAACUUUCGAUAAGGAAGUCAAUCCUUAAAGCAGAUCUGGGACUAGGAGAUACGAGCGAGGUUACCUCUUCCCCAGCCCCCGAGCCCAAACAUGUGGCGAUAAUGGCACCACCACUACUACUCCAAGCAGAAAUUGAUCCAGUCCUUCCCCUGGUCAAAGAAGCUCUCGCGCAGAAUGCGGAGGAAGCUCUAGCUGGUGGUGGCAACAAUGAAGCUAGUGGUGGUGAUGCCCAACUUCAUCUACUAAGGCUAGAGAUUCCUUCAGGCCCAGCAUCGUAGCAACAAGCAGGAGAAGUACCCGAUACUGCGGAUGCUGGUGCUAGAGGGGAGAUGACUGCUCUGUCGGCAGCAAGAGGAUCCAUUUCUUAUGAUCCUACACAAGGAACUGUCCAGCUUUACCACUGCGAGGUCCUUGAAGAUGCAGUCAAUUGGAGGGGAACUCCAGCUGGUGGCCGAGAAGGAGCGUCAUCUUAACCAAAAGCUAAAGGAAGUCACUGCUCUUCAUAGUGACCUUCAGAAGGUCAAGAUUGAACAAAGUCAGGAGCGCCAGGUUCUGCAGGAUCAAAAUGGCACAACUUGCAAGGGACAAGAAAGCUCUCGAAGAGAGAAACAAGUCACUGCAAGGAAAGAAUAGAUCAAGUGCCAAGAAGCAUAGAGAUGAAAUUGAGAAGUUGACCAAGAUAAAGGAGGAUGUUGAUCAUCAGCUCGUCGGGACCAUGCAGCAGAUCAGAGACUUGGUUGCAUAGAGGGAUCUCUAUAAGAAAGAACUCGAUAAGCUGAAAGCUGCUGCUCAAGCUGUUGUGGACAUGGUGGAUCCACCCGAGGAAGUUACGGAGCAGACAAAGACUCUCUUGGGGCGACUGCUAGGAGCUCUGCAAGGGAUUAUCAAGUACCUCUCGGACACCACCCGACAGUACGUGUCUCAUGUACUUGGGUUGGUGAAGCCAUAUUGGCCGCAGGCGAAUCUGGUUCCACUAGGAGAAGGUAUAUCUAUUGAAUGCUCCGAAGACAAAUGUGCUUAUCUCGUGGAAGAGGUGAAGCCUAUAGCCGAUAGGAUUGUGGAUAGCCUGGAGCAGGAGUCCUGAUCAGCAUACUCUAUAUGAUGUCUCUAUGUAUGUGUUAAAUACAUUAUAACUUUGUAACAUAUAUCCUGUUUAUGCGAACUAUUGUCUCAGAAA